UUAACUAAAGCCAUAAUGCGUAAGUCUAAGUCAAAAUACUAGACUUUAACUAAAAUGUUAAUUAUACUAUAUAAUGUUUACCUUUUCAGUAGAAUGUUUGCCCUGGAAUGGUUUUGAGUCAUUUUUUUUAUAUUCAAUGAAAUAAAUGGCAACAAUAUAAAUGCAAAAUGUGUUUUGUGUGGCCCUUCAGGAAAAUAUAUAAGUACUGCUAAAAAUACAUCAUCUAAUCUAAAACGGCAUGUUAAGAACUUAACACACCUUUUCCAUCAAUUGCACCGGUCGAGUGACUAUUUUCAACAGGGUCUAAUAUGAUGACUGAAAAAAGAUAUAAUUUGGGUGAUUUGUUAUUUGAAAAAUUAGUUUUAUUAAAAGAAAAGAAAGUUUAAAAUAUUUUUUUGUUGUUGUAUAUUUUUCUAGUUUCUAAUACCAUUUCGAUCAUGCUUUUGAACCGAAAUUAAUUUAUAACAUAUAUAUAUGUGUAAAGUUACAUGCAUAGGCAGACUAGGGUGGCAGGAGAGUAAAAUAUUUAGGAAACUAUAUAAAAAUAAUAACAAAAAUAAACCUGAUAUAAUAAAUUUACUCCCAUUAAUUUAAAGUAAUACGUAAUUAAUAAUUUUUAAAAAAAGAACGAAGUUGUAACGAAUUCCUUUUUUUGAGGAAUUUGGAAAAAAGUCCUUUUUAUGGUAAGGAAUGAGGAUCUGGAAAGCGUUCUUAUUAUGCGAAAUGAACGGGAAAGGGAACGAGAUCCAUUUUAAAAGAAACUUUCCAAACACUGAUCUAAUGGUAAAAAAUGUAUCUAAAGUCAAAAUGAAAGCUACGUAGUGUGGUUGCGGAAAAGUGAAAGUUGGAAGUAACCGCGUAAUAAUAAUAGCAGAGAAAGAAAUAUUUGACAUUAAAUCAGAUGAACAUUUGUACCAAGAUCUGUUACAAUGAACAUUUUACAAUUUUUGACGAAAAGAUUAUUUAUGCCUUAACUAACAAUGCCUCUACUUAAUCCAGAUUGAGGACAGUCUUAAAGGUAAAUUGGUCGGAUUUCAAAUUAGACAGUGUAAAAUUCAAAUUGUUCUGCAAUAAAACUGCAAAUCUGAUAGUGGAUAAUUAUUCCUGGUAUAUAAUCACAUCAACUGUAUACAAGCUCCUUAAACAUGGGAUUCAAAUUUCAGAAGUAUUUGAACUGCCUUUCGGAUUUUUUAAAGAUUUUCAAGAAGUCUUAUACAAAGAAAUCCACAAAGCUAGAUUAGAUCACAACGCAAAACUUUCUCGAGUUAAUCUUAUUUAAAACCAGUUCAACCACCUUCUAAUUAGGUCGGUUUUAUUACUUGUACGAGCUUCAAAAAAUACAACUCGGAAAAUGGUGAAUAUCUGAAGGCUAAUGUUCUUGUACUGCUUGUUUUAAACUAACUGAUAAAUGUAUAUUUUGUUUGUAGACUAAUGUCUUGUUUUUUUUUGAAAAUAGUUAUGCGUUCAUAAAAUGUUUGGUGAAUUAAGAAUAGCUUUGCUAAUAAUAUUAGAGAAGCUCUUCACUA
Hydra vulgaris (swiftwater hydra) is the source of this 1526-nucleotide non-coding RNA. NCBI's taxonomy places the organism in Eukaryota, Metazoa, Cnidaria, Hydrozoa, Anthoathecata, Hydridae. The record is from RefSeq and is a predicted model, not a curated record.